UUUGGAAUGACAUGCCUGUUAGAGUUUGGGUAGGGAAAUUUAUUUACACCUUUUCCAUUUCAUUGGUUUGAUUUCAUGCCAGCCAAGCCCCAGGAAAGACAAUGAAACCACAGAAGUGAAGAGCAGGAUAGAGACCCUGCUGGACAAGCAGUUGGAGUGAGAAUCAAGACAGCUGGACCACAGGACCAGACCCACCAGGAUCCACCUGACAGUGGCCUGGGUUAAUAUCAGAGAUGCACAUGACCUGGGCAAUCUGCAUGUGAUGCCAGCUGAGCCCCAGAAAGACGGUGCAACCACAGAAGUGCCUAGCUGGGUAAAGGCCCUGCUGGACAAGAAAUUGGAGUGAGAAUCAAGACAGCUGGACCACAGGACCAGACCCAUCAGGAUCCACGUGACAGUGGGUAAGACUCUUCCUAUUUCACAAAUCAUUUCACAGUAAAAACAUCUUGAGAACCUGGACAAUAAUGUAUUUUGGCUCCUCCUCU
Saimiri boliviensis boliviensis (Bolivian squirrel monkey) is the source of this 485-nucleotide long non-coding RNA. The record is from Ensembl. Lineage: Eukaryota; Metazoa; Chordata; Mammalia; Primates; Cebidae.